GUGGGGAAUUUUGGACAAUGGGCGCAAGCCUGAUCCAGCAAUGCCGCGUGCAGGAAGAAGGCCUUCGGGUUGUAAACUGCUUUUGUACGGAACGAAACGGCUCUGGUUAAUACCCGGGGCUAAUGACGGUACCGUAAGAAUAAGCACCGGCUAACUACGUGCCAGCAGCCGCGGUAAUACGUAGGGUGCAAGCGUUAAUCGGAAUUACUGGGCGUAAAGCGUGCGCAGGCGGUUGUGUAAGACAGGCGUGAAAUCCCCGGGCUCAACCUGGGAAUUGCGCUUGUGACUGCACAGCUGGAGUGCGGCAGAGGGGGAUGGAAUUCCGCGUGUAGCAGUGAAAUGCGUAGAUAUGCGGAGGAACACCGAUGGCGAAGGCAAUCCCCUGGGCCUGCACUGACGCUCAUGCACGAAAGCGUGGGGAGCGAACAGGAUUAGAUACCCCAGUAGUCC
This 450-nucleotide ribosomal RNA is filed under the name uncultured bacterium. Its description in RNAcentral is "partial 16S ribosomal RNA". It matches the Rfam family "Bacterial small subunit ribosomal RNA", at positions 354 to 796 of the family's 1533-position model. The record is from RNAcentral.